RNAcentral lists this non-coding RNA (177 nucleotides) under Candidatus Blautia faecavium. Its description in RNAcentral is "6S RNA". It matches the Rfam family "6S / SsrS RNA". Rfam says of the family: E. coli 6S RNA was the first non coding RNA to be sequenced, but its function was unknown until recently. It consists of 184 nucleotides that fold into an extended hairpin structure with a large single-stranded internal bulge. The record is from RNAcentral. Lineage: Bacteria; Bacillati; Bacillota; Clostridia; Lachnospirales; Lachnospiraceae.
AAAAUCCUGGGAUGUGCGAGACCCCUUUUAUUUUUGAACCUACAUCGACAUUAAGGGAUUCCAAGAUCGCAGGUUGGAUGUCAGACCUCUCGUUGUGGUAGGCAGAAAAUCUGUUGAGGAAACCCACCUAGCAAACGCUAGGAGUCAAAAGAAAGGGAACGGCAUUCUGGGAUUUUU